This 736-nucleotide small RNA is filed under the name Pongo abelii (Sumatran orangutan). Its description in RNAcentral is "processed transcript". The record is from RNAcentral. Lineage: Eukaryota; Metazoa; Chordata; Mammalia; Primates; Hominidae.
UCUGUAUGCCCUCCCGCAGCCCCGCCCCCUCCUGCAUCUGCGUCCCCUCCUGCAGCCCUGUCCCCUCCUGCAUCUGCACUUCCUCCUGCAGGUUACCUGAACGUGCUGGUCAACAGCCAGUGGAAGUCUCGCUGGUGCUCUGUCAGGGACAACCACCUGCACUUCUACCAGGACCGGAACCGGAGCAAGGUGGCCCAGCAACCCCUCAGCCUGGUGGGUUGCGAGGUGGUCCCAGACCCCAGCCCCGACCACCUCUACUCCUUCCGCAUCCUCCACAAGGGCGAGGAGCUGGCCAAGCUUGAGGCCAAGUCUUCCGAGGAAAUGGGCCACUGGCUGGGUCUCCUGCUCUCCGAGUCAGGCUCCAAGACAGACCCAGAAGAGUUCACCUACGACUACGUGGAUGCCGAUAGGGUUUCCUGUAUUGUGAGUGCAGCCAAAAACUCUCUCUUACUGAUGCAGAGAAAGUUCUCAGAGCCCAACACUUACAUCGAUGGCCUGCCUAGCCAGGACCGCCAGGAGGAGCUGUAUGACGACGUGGAACUGUCAGAGCUUACAGCUGCGGUGGAGCCUACCGAGGAAGCCACCCCUGUUGCAGAUGACCCAAAUGAGAGAGAAUCUGACCGAGUGUACCUGGACCUCACACCUGUCAAGUCCUUUCUGCACGGCCCCAGCAGUGCACAGGCCCAGGCCUCCUCCCCGACGUUGUCCCGCCUGGACAAUGCAACUGAGGCCCUCC